This is a long non-coding RNA of Choloepus didactylus (southern two-toed sloth), 2578 nucleotides long. RefSeq lists it as uncharacterized. The record is from RefSeq and is a predicted model, not a curated record. The transcript has 5 exons. Lineage: Eukaryota; Metazoa; Chordata; Mammalia; Pilosa; Megalonychidae.
AGGAUCUGAUCUUCUGCCUGAAAUAUCUAAAGAGCUUUAGAAGUGUCAGUGCACACCUGAGAAUUUGAAGUUUUAAUACUCUGUGAAUAUUGUCAGUGGGCAGAGCCAAUCUGACAACUGGCCAGUAAGAGAAACAAAAUAAAGAUAAAGCUCAAAGAGAACCUACAAGGAACCUGAAACCAACUUUCAGAAUAAACCGAUCAUAAAAACCAGAGGCCUAAGACAGACAAAAUCACAAGCCACACCAGGAAACACGAAGAUAUGGCCCAGCCAAAGGAACAUCUAACGCCUCAACUGAGAUUCAGGAGUUGAAGUAAUGUUUUUGACUGGUAACAGCGAAAAGAAUAAAACGUGUAUGAAAGUGAAAAGCAACCCUAGGGGACCCACUGGGGGAGAUUCCUUAUGAUGAGGCACAUAAGGAGAAAUGAUCUAAAACCAAGAUGGCAGCAAGAAGAGGAAAAGGACAACUGCCAGUGUCAACUAUGCGAAGAAAAUGAUACCAUUCUGCACAACUUACAUAAAACAGCUUAUCCAAUCCUCAGUAUAGCCAUAUGUGGUGGGUUUUGUUACCAUCAACCCAAGUCUCAUGGGGAAAUGAAGGCAUAAAUUUGGAUGUCCUCACUCUUAUGUGCUUCUUUGUGGAAGAUACAACAUAUAUACCGAAUCAUGUGAGCCCAAUGUUGAUCCUCUGAACAACUGACCUGCACUUACGACUCAGCCAUGGAGUAUUAGACAAUGUACAUUAGACGUCUAGCAUCUGUGCAUGUGCCUAACAUUUCCCAAGCUUACAGAGUUCCCGGACAUUUCAGAAGAUAACCUCAGUAGUCACAUCACCAGGGCACCUAUCAGUUCAUCUUAUUGCAACUUCCACAUGUUUGAGGUCAGUCAUGGACCUGCAAACUCAAAGUCACCACUUUGAACAAUGAGGUCUAAAUCUGAUAGAGAUGGAUCACUCCUCAUUACCCGGCCAGUAUCUGAUUAGAACUGGGGAGAAACUUUAAUAUAUUUGACUUACAUUAUUACCAUGUGCCCUAGAAAUGCUCCAAUCUUGCAAGUUGCUCACAUUAUGGACAGUGACCAAUAGGAACUCAAAAUCCCUCUUGGUUUUUGGCCUGUGUCAUCCCUGUUGAACAGUCUUGUGCACCUGGGUUAGAAGCCUCUGUGCUCAACCAGUGCUGGCUCUCCUUAGUGAACUCUCCCACUGUGAGCUGCUUAGUACAAGCACUGAGAAACAGCUCUCUGAAUGAAAACACACACAUGGAAUAGAAAGGAACACUAGAAGAAAACAUUAUAUGUUUCACAGUGGAUAUUUUUAAAUAGUAGGUUUGAACUGUAUGCAAAUUUUCAACAAUUACCUUUAUAAUUACAGAUUAGUGUUUAAAUACAACAGCAUAUUUUGUCUACAAUUCAGUCAGAUCACUCAAGAGUAUAAAAUCCCAUACAAGAGAUGACAAACAUAGGGGCAACAUAUGUGGAUCCUUGGAAGAUGUAAAGAAGAUACAGGGAUUUAGGCUCAGCCUCCAAACGGGGAGGAGAAAUGAAGACACUCAGUCUUUGUACCACAGGGUAUAUUAUAGUAUGCUCCAAUUUGUAGAUUGAAUAUUUCAUGUCACUAUAGUUUGCUAUGGUGGGAAAGUCGAGGAAUCUGUUUCUUAUUUCUUUCUUGAUCCUCUGCUUUCCCUCUCUUUUUGUAUUUGUCAAAUUGGUCAAUAAUGAUGCACUUUUUUCUUUGUGUUUAUCAUUGCAAAUUUGUUUAAAUCUUGUUUAAUACUCUUGAACAAGAAAUACCAAAAUAAUCCAUAGUAACACACAGUAGAUGUAUAAGGUGUUUCAUUGGUUAGGCAACAAUGCAGGCUAAGUAAGAUAAAUACCGAUCUUAAAUGGAAGGGUUCUUUUUCACUGUCUUUCUGAUUAAUGGAUUCUCUAUAUUCACAUACAAGUCCAUGCAAUUUUCUCAUCACAUUUUGAAGUGCUGAUCAGGAUUAUUAUUUUUUAUUUUUGCUUUGUUAGUAGUGUUAAACACGAGAUUGUUCCAUGACAAAAUUUAUUCAUUGAACAGGUAGUUUUUUUCAUAUAGAAUUAUUGCCAGCCUACAAAUGCAGUUAACACAUUAGCUUUGGAAGUCUUGUUCUCUGAAUUUUGUAUUAAAUUUAUAAGGCUAUAAAAGACAGGUCUAAAAAGAUACUCCUGACAUAUGUGUCCAAGGUACAGGUUCCAUUUUUACAAGCUGUCACCACAUUAUGUGGUUUGCACAAGAUUUACUGACAUGGUGUGUGUCUCUUGUAUGAUGUGGAUGCCUCCGACACCCAACAUAGUGACAUGAUUAUAAAGAUGAACACCAGGGGUAGGUGUGAAUGUGGAGGAAUGGAACUCUUCCAUGAUGCUGUGGGGUGGACACUGUUUCAGCCAUACUGGGAAUCAGUUUUCCAGUGUGGAUUACAGUUAUCUGUAUGUCUGACCCAGAAAUCACUCUCCUGGUUACAUAGAUCCAGGAAACCUAAAUGAGACAUGAAUGCUUAUGUCCCCUCAAAGGCCUCUGCAAACUCAUUCAAAGUCGUAUCAUUCUGGGUAUCCCUCC